AUCAAAGGUGUGUAGCCAGGAUCCACCCCUUCCCAGACCUCAUUUAAGGGUUGGCAGUGAAGGUGAGGAUAUCUUGCUUGAGAUCCCUCUAUUCCUGAGACCUUUUGAAGUCUGUCUUUGCACGCCCAAGGCUGUCCGUUUGUUCAUUAUUUUUGGGCCCAAGUGGAGCAAGUCUGUUUGUAGAAGAUAGUUGGACUACAUACUCAACUUCCUUCCCAGUGGUCCAGGCUCAUCUGUUUCAACAAAAAUAACUUUGGAUUUGAUGAAGCCCCUGGAGAAUUAUGACCUUGCUGUUCUCCCUUGCUAAGAGAUACAGUCUUCCUGUCUGCUUGGCCAAGCCAAGAUACCAGCAGAGGCUUGAAUCCUGCAAGAUCCUACGGCAGGCUGGAUUGCUUUUAGCUCACUAAAAGCUGUGUUGCACUAUUACAGCACAAGCUUCAGGUCUGAGUGUGCGUAGUGUUAUUUCAUUUUGGGGAUAUAUCCUUUGUAACACCUUUCAGGCUUGAGGAAGAGGCUUUUAACUGUUUCCUGCUGGCUGGUGGAGGAAAGAACAAUUCCCAGCCCGUUCCUUGGCUGUGAUCUCAAUCAAAUCCUGGCUGUUGCAACCAGGGCUCUGCAUAUAUGGGAACCCCUAAAGGAGAGAUUAAAAUGCGGCUCUACUUCUAAUGCAGAUUGUAGGACAUCAGAUAACUGGGCAUGCAGGCACGCAAUGCCUGGAUCAGAGGAAAAGCUACAAACCAAAUCUGAUUGCUUUAUUGAUACCUUUUUUGGUUCUUAAAAAUGUGAAUUUUUAGUAGAACCAGAAGUAUUUCUGAUACGUCAGAACAGGCAUUUGAAUAAACUUGCAAAUUAUACAACACAGUAGAAAGUGAAGCUCAUUUCUGCUUUCCCCGUUGCCUAGGUGAUUAACAUGAGAUAAAUACAGUUUUUCCUAUGUCUGUUCUUAAAUCUUUAAGACAAAGAGUUUUUGACUUGGUGUUGCAAGAUGUGAAGGUGUUUCAAUAGCUAGAUUUCAUAAGAGUUGGACUCUCCUCCCUUCCCAUUCCUUGUGUCACAUUUCUGCUCUAGAGGUCACCUUGUAGCUGCUAUUUAAUGCCCUCCAAACCCCUCAUAGGCUGGGAGCUGGGUGGCUGAGUUCAGUGGUGUGUGUGCUUAUGCAUAAAGCUCACACUAGUUAAAAAUACCAAGUAAUAUAUAAUUAUCUGUAGUGCCAUUAACACCCUGUAAGCAUUAGAGCUGCAAAAGGUGGUUGGCCAUGAGAAAAAACAGAUUGCUGGGCUAGAAAUCAGGAUACCAACUGCUGCCUCUGGCUUUGGCACCGACUGGUGUAACCCUGAGCUAGUCAACUCAUUUCAAUUCCUCCCUUUGUUUUCCCUCUGUCAUGUCUAUUUAAAUAGAAUGUCCUUUGCAGCAGGGAUUGUCUCUCCCUGUGUGUUUGUACAGUGCGUGACACAGCAGGCCCCAAGCUCCACUGAUGGCUCCAAAACACAGAACCUUCAUGAGAAGAGACUUCUGCUGCAGAAAUCUCCAUAUGCAGUGGCUUCAGAAACCUCAGUUCUGCUGCUUGUUUUCCCUUCUCCUUCCUGAUGAUCUUAGCUGUUUGUAAGAAAGCCUCAGCAGAGGCUGCUAAAUGCUGGUGCCCUGAUUUGACAGAUUAGGAAAGAGAAAUACAGAAAUGUGGUGUGGAUUUCUCCAGCUCAUACAGGAAAGAGGCAUUCUUUUCCUCCCCGGAUUCAGUGCUACAAGGAGAACAAGACAUUAAAUAAUAAAUACACACAUAAUCCAAGCACACCUUCCAGCUUUUACCUCCUGCUUCCUCUCCUUUGCAGGCCCACAGAAACCACAUCUGCAUGUGCUUCCUUCAGUGUCUCCUCUUUCCUCCCUUCUUCUGCUGACCUCUGGAAGCACUUCAGGGAUUACCUGAGCAGCUCAGAGCAACAAAGCAAGAUCUCUGCUUACCAGAGGCAGCCACUGAAUAUGCCUGUAAUGCCUAAUUCAGCCUGAGGCUGUAGAUACCUGCCUCCACCUACCCCUAUUUACUGUCAGAAUGAGGCAUUUGCUGUGAGAGUGUGAACAUCCACACAUUGACAGUAAUCAAAUUUUGUUGUUGUUACUGCAUGUUUCUAUCUGGGAAUCCAAAAAGAAUAUUUUCACCCUUCAUUUCACUUCACAACAUCACAG
Molecule: non-coding RNA, 2181 nt
Organism: Meleagris gallopavo (turkey)
Lineage: Eukaryota; Metazoa; Chordata; Aves; Galliformes; Phasianidae
Source: RefSeq, a predicted model, not a curated record